AGGAACCGACCCACAGUACUCUCUAAGAUCUGUGGUUGAUCCCCCAAUGAUCCCCUUUGAUAAGCGGAGGUAAAGGAUGCUGCUUGCUGAGCUGCCUGCUACAAGGUGAAGGAUGUGUCUUCUACUGGAUGUUAUAAGCUUAUGCAGAGAUGUGGGAGGUGUUGGAAGACAGCGAGGCUGUGAUGCCACUGGAGACGUGGGAGAGAGCUGAAAACGCUAUUGAUGGGAGCUAAGGAAGAGAGGAAGAAAAGGAAGUGACAAAAACAGUGAUCUGAACCAUGAAAUAUCUCACUUUGUUACUUAAAAGAGAUUGUGUGAGUCAUAGGGAACCAUAAUUUUGUAAACAGCUGCAGUGAUUUCUGUAAUGCAGAGACCUAAUGAGGAACGGUGAGUCUAGCUUGGUUAGAACAACAACGCUGCAUUGCAACAUUCUGUGCUGAGUACUCUGAAAGUAUAAAGCAAUGGUCUGGAGUUUCGGGAGUCUGUAAUCUCCUAGAUGAUCUUUGGCAAAUCAUUUCACUUCGCACUGCUUCUGUUUCACCAUCUGUAAGACAUGCAGGACAAUAAAAAAGCCCAUUGAA
Gymnogyps californianus (California condor) is the source of this 581-nucleotide long non-coding RNA. RefSeq lists it as uncharacterized. Lineage: Eukaryota; Metazoa; Chordata; Aves; Accipitriformes; Cathartidae. The transcript has 3 exons. The record is from RefSeq and is a predicted model, not a curated record.